Carassius auratus (goldfish) is the source of this 270-nucleotide long non-coding RNA. RefSeq lists it as uncharacterized. The record is from RefSeq and is a predicted model, not a curated record. The transcript is spliced from 4 exons. Lineage: Eukaryota; Metazoa; Chordata; Actinopteri; Cypriniformes; Cyprinidae.
GACAUUAAUGAGGAUCGGAAGGACAGUCCAGAUAUAAACAAAGGUUUAAAUCUCCGAGAAGGAGACAUCAUGGUGCCUAAUCAAAGGAGCGCCAUUCUUGGGAAUCAGUUCAAGUGGAAUAUUCCUGUCCCCUUUGAAAUGAGUGUGAAUCUCAGUUUGAACUAUAAAGGAGUCAUUUUGAGAGCCCUUGAGCAAUUCAGACUGAAAUCAUGUAUUGACUUUAAGGCCAGAACAGCAGAAGACAUUUCUUACAUCUCUGUGGAGAGUCUU